UACGGAGGGUGCAAGCAUUAAUCGGAUUAACUGGGCGUAAAGGGCGCGUAGGCGGCAGAUCAAGUCAGAAGUGAAAUUCCGGGGCUCAACCUCGGAGCAGCAUCUGAAACUGAUUAGCUAGAGGGUAGACGGAGAAAAUGGAAUUCCACAUGUAGCGGUGAAAUGCGUAGAGAUUAGGAAGAACACCAGUGGCGAAGGCGACUUUCUGGACCGUAACUGACGCUGAGAUACGAAAGCGUGGGGAGCAAAC
Molecule: ribosomal RNA, 250 nt
Filed under: uncultured bacterium
Lineage: Bacteria
Description: partial 16S ribosomal RNA
Rfam family: Bacterial small subunit ribosomal RNA
Source: RNAcentral